This 503-nucleotide ribosomal RNA is filed under the name Coslenchus polonicus. RNAcentral's name for it is "SSU rRNA". It matches the Rfam family "Eukaryotic small subunit ribosomal RNA", at positions 88 to 590 of the family's 1831-position model. Lineage: Eukaryota; Metazoa; Nematoda; Chromadorea; Rhabditida; Tylenchidae. The record is from RNAcentral.
CGCGAAUGGCUCAUUACAACAGCUAUAAUUUACUUGAUCUUGACAAUCCUACUUGGAUAACUGUGGUAAUUCUAGAGCUAAUACAUGCACCAAAGCUCUGACCUUACGGGAAGAGUGCAUUUAUUAGAACAAAACCAAGCGGCUUCGGUCGUUUUUUGUUGACUCAGAAUAACUAAGCUGAUCGCAUGGUCUUGUACCGGCGACGUGUCUUUCAAGUAUCUGCCUUAUCAACUUUCGAUGGUAGUGUAUCUGACUACCAUGGUUGUGACGGGUAACGGAGGAUAAGGGUUCGACUCCGGAGAAGGGGCCUGAGAAAUGGCCACUACGUCUAAGGAUGGCAGCAGGCGCGCAAAUUACCCACUCUCAGCACGAGGAGGUAGUGACGAAAAAUAACGAGACCGUUCUCUUAUGAGGCCGGUCAUCGGAAUGGGUACAAUUUAAACCCUUUAACGAGUAUCUAUGAGAGGGCAAGUCUGGUGCCAGCAGCCGCGGUAAUUCCAGCU